RNAcentral lists this ribosomal RNA (309 nucleotides) under uncultured eukaryote. Its description in RNAcentral is "partial 18S ribosomal RNA". It matches the Rfam family "Eukaryotic small subunit ribosomal RNA", at positions 1470 to 1796 of the family's 1831-position model. The record is from RNAcentral.
CCCUUAGAUGUUCUGGGCGGCCCGCGCACUACAAUGGCGUGUGCAGCGAGUGCCGAAGUAGAGUUUUCCGAGGUAUUCUUGCAAUGCUCGUUUUGAUGGGGAUAGACCCUUGCAACUGUUGGUUUUGAACGAGGAAUUCCUUGUAAGCAUGGUUUAUCAUCCGACGCUGAAUGCGUCCCUGCCCUUUGUACACACCGCCCGUCGCUCCUACCGAUGAGUCGUCCGGUGAAGUUCGUAGACCUCGUGAUCGCGGAUCACUGGGGGAAGCAAAAUGAACCUCGCGGUUUAGAGGGAGGAGAAGUCGUAACA